CAGUCGCCGUGCCUUAUGUCGGAGUUCCGAUGAUUUCCUGAUCGAUUUAUCCCUUCGAACCGAAGAGCACUGAGAACUAGGUCCGAUCCACAAAAUACAAAAUUGAUGAGGAAAUUGAGAUAAGCUGAAGAUCGAAAAGGUGAGUCGCAGCUGUUGAGACCGAACCAGAUUGGAAGGAAACUAACAGCAGUUUCUUGGCAAGAUCAAAAAGGACACUGAAAUGGUUAAACGUAUUGGCCUUACUUCACAUAUUCAGCAUCACAAARCUCAUCWGUGUAAACKAGUAACUUUGACUAUAUUCAGACAGGAAAUGGUUUCACAAGAGACUAUAUAAUGACCACAGUAGUAGGAAUCAUUUUAGAUUUGUACCAUCUCACUCAACAAUGUACUGGUAUAAUUAUAUAGUCUACACAAAACAUGUAGAGACUGAAUGAAACAAUCCUAAAUCCGUGAUUAUUGUAUUUUAAAACCC
Orbicella faveolata is the source of this 472-nucleotide long non-coding RNA. The record is from RefSeq and is a predicted model, not a curated record. Lineage: Eukaryota; Metazoa; Cnidaria; Anthozoa; Scleractinia; Merulinidae.